AUUGAACGCUGGCGGCAGGCCUAACACAUGCAAGUCGAGCGGAGCGGCGGACGGGUGAGUAAUGCCUAGGAAUCUGCCUGGUAGUGGUGGAUAACGUCCGGAAACGGGCGCUAAUACCGCAUACUAUCAGAUGAGCCUAGGUCGGAUUAGCUAGUUGGUGGGGUAAAUGCCUACCAAGGCGACGAUCCGUAAAUGGUCUGAGAGGAUGAUCAGUCACACUGAAACUGGAACACGGACCAGACUCCUACGGGGGGCAGCAGUGGGGAAUAUUGGACAAUGGGCGAAAGCCUGAUCCAGCCAUGCCGCGUGUGUGAAGAAGGUUUUCGGAUUGUAAAGCACUUUAAGUUGGGAGGCGUUACCAACAGAUUAUGCACCGGCUACCUUCAUGCCAGAAGCCGCGGUAAUUC
Molecule: ribosomal RNA, 407 nt
Filed under: uncultured bacterium
Lineage: Bacteria
Description: partial 16S ribosomal RNA
Rfam family: Bacterial small subunit ribosomal RNA
Source: RNAcentral